UACGGAGGAUGCGAGCGUUAUCCGGAUUUAUUGGGUUUAAGGGGUGCGUAGGCGGAUCGUUAAGUCAGUGGUCAAAUUGAGGGGCUCAACCCCUUCCCGCCAUUGAAACUGGCGCUCUUGAGUGGAAGAGAAGUAUGCGGAAUGCGUGGUGUAGCGGUGAAAUGCAUAGAUAUCACGCAGAACCCCGAUUGCGAAGGCAGCAUGCCGGCUUCCGACUGACGCUGAAGCACGAAAGCGUGGGGAUCGAACAGG
RNAcentral lists this ribosomal RNA (252 nucleotides) under uncultured bacterium. RNAcentral describes it as "partial 16S ribosomal RNA". It matches the Rfam family "Bacterial small subunit ribosomal RNA", at positions 524 to 776 of the family's 1533-position model. The record is from RNAcentral.